CCUACGGGUGGCAGCAGUGGGGAAUAUUGCACAAUGGGGGAAACCCUGAUGCAGCGACGCCGCGUGAGUGAAGAAGUAUUUCGGUAUGUAAAGCUCUAUCAGCAGGGAAGAAAAUGACGGUACCUGACUAAGAAGCCCCGUCUAACUACGUGCCAGCAGCCGCGGUAAUACGUAGGGGGCAAGCGUUAUCCGGAUUUACCGGGUGUUAAGGGAGCGUAGGUGGCAUGGUAAGCCAGGAGUGAAAACCCUGGGGUCAACCCCGCGGAUUGCUUUUGAAACUAUCAGGCUGGAGUGCUGGAGGGGUAAGCGGAAUUCCUAGUGUAGCGGUGAAAUGCGUAGAUAUUAGGAGGAACACCGGUGGCGAAGGCGGCUUACUGGACAGAAACUGACACUGAGGCUCGAAAGCGUGGGGAGCAAACAGGAUUAGAUACCCCUGUAGUC
Molecule: ribosomal RNA, 441 nt
Filed under: uncultured bacterium
Lineage: Bacteria
Description: partial 16S ribosomal RNA
Rfam family: Bacterial small subunit ribosomal RNA
Source: RNAcentral